RNAcentral lists this transfer RNA (75 nucleotides) under Streptococcus pyogenes. Its description in RNAcentral is "tRNA-???(gtcc)". It matches the Rfam family "tRNA". Rfam says of the family: Transfer RNA (tRNA) molecules are approximately 80 nucleotides in length. Their secondary structure includes four short double-helical elements and three loops (D, anti-codon, and T loops). Lineage: Bacteria; Bacillati; Bacillota; Bacilli; Lactobacillales; Streptococcaceae. The record is from RNAcentral.
GGUCCCGUAGUGUAGCGGUUAUCACGUUCGCCCUGUCCACGGCGAAGAUCGCGGGUUCGAUUCCCGUCGGGACCC